RNAcentral lists this unclassified non-coding RNA (373 nucleotides) under Hevea brasiliensis (rubber tree). The record is from RNAcentral. Lineage: Eukaryota; Viridiplantae; Streptophyta; Magnoliopsida; Malpighiales; Euphorbiaceae.
AUUGGGAGAAAAUAACAAGGAUGUCAAGAAAUCUGAAGUUCCUAAAGAAGACAAGACUUAUUUUGAAUCUUCUUCCGAGGAAAAAUGGAUAAAUAAUCGGAUUGAUGUGCAAGCAAGUCAGCAGCCACAUACUUUUGAGGGGGAAGGAAUGAACAUGGGAAUAUCUCAAGAGGAGAGAACAAACCAAAGCACUGAUAAAAAGGAGAAGUAUCUUGAAAAUAUGACGGUUGAAAAGAGGAAAGCUGAAGGUAAUUUGCAAGAGGAAAUGGAAUCGGAAAAGAGACAUCAUGGAAGAAAGGAAGAAACAAAAGUUAGGGGAAUAGAAAAGGAAAGAAUAGUUGUGGAAAGGGCAAUCCGAGAAGCUCGUGAAAGG